GUUGAACGCUGGCGGCGUGCCUAAUACAUGCAAGUCGAGCGAAUAGAUGAGGAGCUUGCUCCUCUUACGUUAGCGGCGGACGGGUGAGUCACACGUGGCUACCCUACCUAUAGGACUGGGAUACCUUAGGGAACCCUGAGCUAAUACACGAUAAUAUAUUGAACGGCAUGGUUCUAUAGUGAAAGCGCGUUUUGCUGUCACUUAUUGAUAGUACCGCGCCGCAUUAGCUAGUUGGUACGGUAACGGCUUACCAAGGCAACGAUGCGUAGCCGACCUGAGAGGAUGAUCAGCCACACUGGAACUGAGACACGGUCCAGACUCCUACGGGAGGCAGCAGUAGGGAAUCUUCGACAAUGGGCGAAAGCCUGAUGGAGCAACGCCGCGUGAGUGAAGAAGGUCUUCGGAUUGUAAAGCUCUGUAAGUUGGGAGGAACAAAUGUGAAAUAAACCAUGCACGUUUUGACGUUACCAAAACAGAAAGCCACGGCUAACUUCGUG
Molecule: ribosomal RNA, 497 nt
Filed under: uncultured bacterium
Lineage: Bacteria
Description: partial 16S ribosomal RNA
Rfam family: Bacterial small subunit ribosomal RNA
Source: RNAcentral